AACUUUCGACAACGGAUCUCUUGGUUCUGGCAACGAUGAAGAACGCAGCGAAAUGCGAUAAGUAAUGUGAAUUGCAGAAUUCAGUGAAUCAUCGAAUCUUUGAACGCACAUUGCGCCCCCUGGUAUUCCGGGGGGCACACCUGUUCGAGCGCCAUUUUCACCAUCGAGCCCUGCUCGGAGAUGGGCAUCGUCCUCGCGGACCGGCCCGAAACCUGUGGGCGCCUCCGUCCGGCCCUGAGCGUAGCAAGAGAAAUCCCUCGCUCGGUGGACCGUCCGGCGGCUGCCCCGACCAUUUUUUACAAGGUUGGCCUCGGAUCAGGUGGGGAUACCCGCUGAACUUAAGCAUAUCAAUAAGCGGAGGCU
This 363-nucleotide unclassified non-coding RNA is filed under the name uncultured Orbiliales. RNAcentral describes it as "sequence contains ITS2". The stretch from base 1 to 154 matches the Rfam family "5.8S ribosomal RNA". Lineage: Eukaryota; Fungi; Ascomycota; Orbiliomycetes; Orbiliales. The record is from RNAcentral.